AUUGAACGCUGGCGGCAGGCCUAACACAUGCAAGUCGAACGAGUGGCGGCCGUGUGAGUACUGUUCGGAAAACUGCCUGAUGGAGGGGGCUAAAUACUGGAAACGGUAGCUAAUACCCUAUACCAUCGGAUGUGCCCAGAUGGGAGUAGCUAGUAGGUCUGGUAAAGGCUCACCUAGGCGACGAUCCCUAGCUGGUCUGAGAGGAUGACCAGCCACACUGGAAUUGAGACACGGUCCAGACGCCUACGGGAGGCAGCAGUGGGGAAUAUUGCACAAUGGGCGCAAGCCUGAUGCAGCCAUGCCGCGUGUAUGAAGAAGGCCGUCGGGUUGUAAAGUACUUUCAGCAGGGAGGCGUUACCCGCAGAAGAAGCACCGGCUAACUCCGUGCCAGCAGCCGCGGUAAUAC
This 406-nucleotide ribosomal RNA is filed under the name uncultured bacterium. RNAcentral describes it as "partial 16S ribosomal RNA". It matches the Rfam family "Bacterial small subunit ribosomal RNA", at positions 30 to 526 of the family's 1533-position model. The record is from RNAcentral.